UACGUAGGGUGCAAGCGUUAAUCGGAAUUACUGGGCGUAAAGCGUGCGCAGGCGGUUGUGCAAGACAGAUGUGAAAUCCCCGGGCUUAACCUGGGAACUGCAUUUGUGACUGCACGGCUAGAGUACGGCAGAGGGGGAUGGAAUUCCGCGUGUAGCAGUGAAAUGCGUAGAUAUGCGGAGGAACACCAAUGGCGAAGGCAGUCCCCUGGGCCUGUACUGACGCUCAUGCACGAAAGCGUGGGGAGCAAACAGG
This 253-nucleotide ribosomal RNA is filed under the name uncultured bacterium. Its description in RNAcentral is "partial 16S ribosomal RNA". It matches the Rfam family "Bacterial small subunit ribosomal RNA", at positions 524 to 776 of the family's 1533-position model. The record is from RNAcentral.